ACGAGCUGCAACUGCGACAGGAGGCGUUGGAUUCCCCGGAAGCGCUGGCGCACACUACUCGGCCACAAGCUGAACCUGCUCACCGAUGAAAAUUCCUGCCGUCCAGCCGCACCACCACCCAGCAGUGGGCCAGAUCGUGUGGUUCAGGUGAGGAUAAUCCCAUCUCACCUUUGCUCCAGGGUGAACACGCGACCAAGACCCCUGUAGUGUCUCAGUGUGAAUUAUAAAAAGACACCCCUCUCUGGGCAGACAUAGUCAUGCACCAGGCAAAGGUAUGAGGCUGGGCUGGUUUACUGGAUAAAAGAAAUUGAAAUCUGCAUGCCCAUCUAAAAGUGGAAUCUAGAAUGUGAACUGACGUUCUACUUGGCUUAUACUGUUACUCAUUCCUAAGCAAUGGAAAUUAAGGGUAAAAGAAAAUCCAG
RNAcentral lists this long non-coding RNA (422 nucleotides) under Equus caballus (horse). RNAcentral's name for it is "lncRNA (ENSECAG00000053134.1)". The record is from RNAcentral. Lineage: Eukaryota; Metazoa; Chordata; Mammalia; Perissodactyla; Equidae.